This 482-nucleotide long non-coding RNA is filed under the name Pongo abelii (Sumatran orangutan). RNAcentral describes it as "lincRNA". Lineage: Eukaryota; Metazoa; Chordata; Mammalia; Primates; Hominidae. The record is from RNAcentral.
CUCGCUCCUCUGACACAUCGGGAGCUCCUGUGUGCAGGGCCCUGUCUCCCACCUCGGGCUGAGGCUUCUAACGGCAGGGCGUCUCUUCCCUCCGACUAGGGCACCUGAAGGGCUAAGUGUUCCAAGACAGCAGUGUCAGCAAAGGAUGCGCAGAUUUGAGGAGUGGGACCGGCAGAGCUGGAUGAAACCUGACUAUGCUGAAGGGGAAAUGGAGACCCCGGGAGGGGCAGGGACCUGCUGAGUGCCUCCCCAGGCAGUAGCUGACCUGGACCGCAUCCUUGUACUCCUGCUGAGAGAUCCUGACUAAUACACCAAGACCCAGGGCUGCAUGCCCAGGACUCAGGAAGAGUCUCGAAGAAUCCUCUGCACACAAGAACACUGCUAUCCGCCAAAGCUGAUGUCAGCUAUUCCCUGCAGACUGGCCUGGUCCAGCAGAGCCAGCUCUGCUAAACUACCAAAGGCAGGAAGAAAAUGAGCCACCA